RNAcentral lists this ribosomal RNA (430 nucleotides) under uncultured soil bacterium. RNAcentral describes it as "bacterial SSU rRNA". It matches the Rfam family "Bacterial small subunit ribosomal RNA", at positions 26 to 512 of the family's 1533-position model. The record is from RNAcentral.
AGGAUAAACGCUGGCGGCGUGCCUUAUGCAUGCAAGUCGAACGCACCGCAAGGUGAGUGGCGAACGGGUGAGUAACACGUAGGAACCUGCCCGGGAGUGGGGAAUAACUUCCCGAAAGGGGAGCUAAUACCGCAUAUGGUCUACGGAUCAAAGCUUUAUGCGCUCUCGGAGGGGCCUGCGGCGGAUUAGCUUGUUGGUGGGUAACGCCUACCAAGGCGACGAUCCGUAGCUGGUCUGAGAGAUGGUCAGCCACACUGGGACUGAGACAGGCCCAGACUCCUACGGGAGGCAGCAGCAAGGAAUUUGCGCAAUGGACGAAAGUCUGACGCAGCAACGCGCGUGGGGAUGAAGGCCUCGGUUGUAAACCCUUUGCGAGGAAGAAGAUCUGACGGUACUCGACGAAUAAGCCACGCUAACUACGUACGCCAGC